Molecule: microRNA precursor, 82 nt
Organism: Drosophila busckii
Lineage: Eukaryota; Metazoa; Arthropoda; Insecta; Diptera; Drosophilidae
Rfam family: mir-252 microRNA precursor family
Source: Rfam
UUGCUUUCCUAAGUACUAGUGCCGCAGGAGUUGGGUUUGAGUCUGUAUAUUCCUCCUGCUGCCCAAGUGCUUAUCAAAGCGA